Molecule: long non-coding RNA, 2448 nt
Organism: Cygnus olor (mute swan)
Lineage: Eukaryota; Metazoa; Chordata; Aves; Anseriformes; Anatidae
Exons: 2
Source: RefSeq, a predicted model, not a curated record
AUUAAAAAAACAUUAAAUUACUUGAGAGUAGUUUAAUUGAGAGGUCAGUGGAGUUACAAAGCACGCACAUGGCUGUUUUUCCAACUACUCACACGCUGGAGAAAAUCCUUGUUUACCCCAUCUUAGCAGGCCUCAUCUGUUACAAGACCAAAAAUAACCAGACUAAAAUAGAAACAGAUUCGUUUGGUCAUCGUGACUUUAGGGUCAGUCCCUAUCCUCUCUUGGAGCCCUGAACGCUGGCCAGCGUUCCCCAGUUGUCAUCAUCCCAUGCUGGGAAGGAUACGCAGCAAGGCAGCUCCUGAACCUAGAAGCCUAAUACAAGGGGAUACACAGAAAACUGAAACAAACCUUUUUUUUUUUUUUUUUUACCUUAAAUGUAAAUACCUUAUCACUGAUUACCAGCGCUAUUAUCUUCUUGAGCCAUUCCACAGCUUUGAUUUGCUGUAAUUCACCCCUGAGAUAAGUCAUUCAGCGAGCUGAAUCAGCUACGAGGUAUUAUACACCCAUGUCAUGCUUUUGAGAAAAACUCAAGUGCAGGUGUCUCAACUGAGGUCGAGCUUUCCAGCAUUCACAGACACCAUAAGGCUAUCGGGCUCCUGAAGGCAGUGCGCAUUGCAGGCUUUCCUAGAAGCCUUCUCCAUGAAUUUUGUUGCCAGGUCAUGGCUAUUUAUGGCUGUUCAUAAAAGACGGAUAGAAGCAGGAAAGCACAGUCUGGAUUUCAUCCUGACCAAGCACGCUGCGUUACCACAAGGUACAGCUGUUUGCCUGCUCCAGCCCCGCAGCCCAGCUAACUUCAGAGAGGUUGUGAGGGAGCGAUGUGCUUCAACACAGGCAGUGGUUUUUUCAUAAAAAGCAAGUAUUUCAGGAAACCUUCCAAGGCAGCUAGCGGCGCUGCGUUGGGCAUGCCAAAACAUGAUGCGCGCUGGACACCGCUCCCCGCUGCGGCCUGCCAGCUCGCUUCCCCAGCCAGCUGUUUUACGAGAUGACAAGUUUUUCCACGCACCAGGAUCAAAUUUAAAAGCAGCGGUCAAGCUAGCAGCAAGACACGCAGAUGGUUUCACUGUCAGGACAGCAGCAGACACACAUCUUCCUGCCAGCAGAGGCUCGGGACCCACGCUGUCUGGGCCUCAGGUCUCCCCAUUGACUCAGACCAAUCGCCCUUGUUCCUAGAAAAAAAUCUUAAUGAACUCUGAUGGGAUUCAGGAUGGAAGAGCCAGACCCACCCCAGAGCUGGAGCAGAACUAGGUGACACUAGAUGUCCUGCAUGCAAAUUAACUGGAAACCUUCACAAGAAGGCAGCAGCAACUUGCAGAUCACAGCACUACUUGUGGGACUUUGUUAUCUCCUGUAAACACCAAGCUGUUUAGAUACCACCUGGUGCAUGAGGUGGAGGAAAAAAAGGGCAGAGAAGUCUCAUUCACCUGUUGCUUUCCUGUCAAUGGUGACGUACUCUUGUAAAACGCUUUUCAGACACUGACUGUUGCUAUCGGGGUCAUCCUGGGGCUUCGUGUACCAAGAGAUGGACAUCCAGAUCCUGUUCACAGCUCCACGUCUUGUCCCAUGCUUAGGUCAACCCCAUCGACAAACCCAAAAAUCAAGGUUUGACUUGAGGCAAUAAAGAAGAAAGAAAAGGAAAUAAAAAAAAAACGAGAGAGAGGGGGAGGAGGAUUAGAGGCUAAAGGGCAUCCAGAGCCUUGUACAAAGCACUCCUCUUUCUUUUUGAUCUUAUUCUUGGUCAAGAAGAUCCUUCCCACUUCUGUACAGUCACAAGCCACAUUAUGGUCUGCUUUCUUGACAAGAAGAAACACAACACCAGAUAUCUGCAGAGAGCAUCUGCUCUCACACAAACCUGAAUAAGGGUCACAUUUUCAAAGAGGCCAGCGCCCAUUAUAUCCCAAGCCAAGGACAUGAGAGGGCCCAAAAGAUCUGAGGGUUGCCUGCAGCUCUACAAUAUGCUUUCCACAUAAACGUAGACGAGCAGUUUAGGGCCCCUCUCCUUUCCACCACGCCUCGGUCUCCCCGAUCAUAUAACAGUGCACAUUCCUCCCUCAUCAAAGAGGUGUUUGCAAAGUUUGUGAGCCAAAGUGUGCUCAGCAAAGCGCUGGGAUCGUUGGGUGAGAAAAUCCGAGCGUAGUGCACAAGGGUAAUGUUUCUAUUGUGCCCAGAAAAAGAGCUGCCCUUAUCAUGUAUCCACCUGACACCUUCAUACAGCUGGGGUCUUACUCUCAGAUGGGGCUUUUAACUGCAAUAUAAAUUGAAUUUUAGCUGGGUUUCUUAGGGAAGUGAGGCUUGCAUGAGUAACUGAGCAGAUCUCUGCUUUGAUCUCCUUAGUUUGAGACUGUAGUCAGCGUUGACAUCUCUUUCUUGGGGUUCCUCAUCGUAUCAAGACUUAUAAACAGCAGAAGGAAUAACAGUUUCGGUGGACUUCAGAAUACAUCCUACUUUUUU